GCUGUGGUUUAGCUCAGUGGUUACUUCGAUUGCAUUCUCUCUCGCAGAGAUACUCAGUCUCCAUCCCUCCGUGGGAUCGAGCCCUGGGCGCUGUCCACAGCAUUU
Molecule: vault RNA, 105 nt
Gene: Vault
Rfam family: Vault RNA
About the family: This family of RNAs are found as part of the enigmatic vault ribonucleoprotein complex. The complex consists of a major vault protein (MVP), two minor vault proteins (VPARP and TEP1), and several small untranslated RNA molecules.
Source: Ensembl